RNAcentral lists this transfer RNA (72 nucleotides) under Ictidomys tridecemlineatus (thirteen-lined ground squirrel). Its description in RNAcentral is "Spermophilus tridecemlineatus (thirteen-lined ground squirrel) tRNA". It matches the Rfam family "tRNA". Rfam says of the family: Transfer RNA (tRNA) molecules are approximately 80 nucleotides in length. Their secondary structure includes four short double-helical elements and three loops (D, anti-codon, and T loops). Lineage: Eukaryota; Metazoa; Chordata; Mammalia; Rodentia; Sciuridae. The record is from Rfam by way of RNAcentral.
AGAGUUGUUGCUCAGUGGUAGAGCACUUGCCUAGCAUGUAUGAGGCACUGGGUUCAAUUCUCAGUACCACAU